UGAAGCACAAAAGUAGAAUAUAAAUAUAUAAUAGCUUCUUGCUCUCAGCUGCAGGCGUUGCAUGACUAAUCUGAAACAUUGAUUUUAUAUUCUCUGACGAUGAAGCUUUCCUGGUGAAUUUGUGUGGUUCAGUUUUCCACUGUGUUCGCCAUUCUUUCUUGCUUUUUUUCCUAAUUUGUUCACCGCGCAUUAAGUUUGUUUGAUGAUUUUCUUCCAGAUCCAAUGAGAAUUAUGAGAACAGAUCCAAAAACAUAUGUCUUUUGAUCCUGAUAUGAGUUGAAUAAAAGACAUGUUUGGAAAGUUUUAUAGGUCUUAGUACAAAUGCACGUGGCAUUUCCGGCCAGCAGCGAGUCCAGCUGCCUUCUACGUCGCCUCAUCCUGUAUGAAUUGGAUUUCUUCAUCGUCAACUGCUGAGGAUGCAACAAGGGUGGCACUAGCACUGCCGAAGUAAAGAAGAACAGGCCCCCUCCUGUAUAGUUACGGUGAGCUCAGAUAAUGAAAACAUUCGACCUUUACAGAAAUUUUUUCAUUCAGUAAAAAUAUGUGAAUUGAGGGCUAUAUUGGUUCUUUCCUGUACGUAUAGUAUUGUUUUUAUGCAUGACAAUCGUUUUAAAGGAAUGCCUAAUGAUAUGCCUAGGUGUUAUUUUUCCUCAACUGAACUAUUUGUAGCUUCAGUUAAGUUUUGAUUUCUCCCUACAUCAUGUGCAUUCAUGUUCAUAUAGAAAUUGUAUUAUCAUGUCCAUCCAGAGUAUGGUGCUUUCGUAAAGGUUUAGGAAGCUUCUACUGGUUGUUUUUUGAUUCAGACAUGGGGCAUAAAAGUAACAUCGCAUGUCUUACGGCUAAAUGAUAUGUAUCUUGGAUGCAAUUCAGUCGUCGAAAAGCCGAGGAGAGGUCUAAAUAUUUUAUAACUUCUUUUUUCCUUUGUAUUGGUGCAUUAUUCACGAUUAGUCAAUUAAAUACCACACCCUUUUAAACUAAAUAUUAACAACAUCAGAGAACCACGAUGUGAUCAAGUAGGGAAGAAACUAGAAUCUGCUACCCAAUGUUCCGCUUGAUGUCGGAUUUAGUUUGCAUUUCGGAAGUCCUACCAAUUCAUGCUUUUGAGUUAUGGCCAUCAUAUCUACAUAUUUGCAGUAUCAAAAAGGUAAUUAAUUAAUGUGUGCUACUCCUUUUAACUGAUUUUACCAAUCUUUCACGUUUGCAUCUAACUAUGGCUGAUUGUUCUUUGUUCUCAUUGAUACUUAGUAAGUUAGUUAAAGCUGCAAACAAAUUGGAAAAUCAUAGUAUGUGCAAUCUAAAUUCAGUGCCAAUGAUUCAAUAUAAGUCGAGUCAAGUUACUUUGGUGAAGGACAGCCAGUGCUUGAAGUUUCCAUACUAGCUAAUGAUAUGUAUCUUGGAUGCAAUUCAGUCGUCGAAAAGCCGGGGAGAGGUCUAAAUAUUUUAUAACUUCUCUUUUCCUAGCUAUUGGUGCAUUAUUCACGAUUAUUCAAUUAAAUACCACACCUUUUUUUUUGAAAAGGGAAAAUACCACACCCUUUUAAACUAAAUAUUAACAACAUCAGAGAAUCACGAUGUAAUCAAGUAGGGAAAAAACUAGAAUCUGCUACCCAAUGUUCCGCUUGAUGUCGGAUUCAGUUUGCAUUUCGGAAGUCCUACCAAUUCAUGCUUUUGAGUUAUGGCCAACAUAUAUACAUAUUUGUAGUUACAAUAAGGUAAUUAUUAUUGUGUGCUCCUCCUUUUAAUUGAUUUUACCAAUCUUUCGUUUGCAUCUAUCUAUGACUGAUUGUUCUUUGUUCUCAUUGAUACUUGGUAAGUUAGUUAAAGCUGCAAACAAAUUGGAAAAGCAUAGUAUGUGCAAUCUAAAUUCAGUGCCAAUGAUUCAAUAUAAGUCGAGUCAAGUGACUUUGGUGAAGGACACCCAGUGCUUCAAGUUUCCAUGCAAGCACAUGCGAUCCCCAAUGCAAAUUUAAGUCUUAGUGCUACAACCGGUUUGUGUGUUCUGCAUGAUUUUUCAUCGGUCGUUGUUUUUUUUCGAAGAGGGGAACGGAGCCCCGACCUCUACAUGGAGCGCACUAGGGUCCACUAUUUUGUUUCACUUUGCUUUGUCUAUUUGUAUAUGGUUGUUCAGAAAUUUGUACUUUUGUUCUUUUAUAUUUGGCCUUUAACAUUCUUGCUAUGCUGUAAGAUGGAAAUAGUU
This is a long non-coding RNA of Lolium rigidum, 2197 nucleotides long. RefSeq lists it as uncharacterized. NCBI's taxonomy places the organism in Eukaryota, Viridiplantae, Streptophyta, Magnoliopsida, Poales, Poaceae. The transcript has 4 exons. The record is from RefSeq and is a predicted model, not a curated record.